RNAcentral lists this ribosomal RNA (252 nucleotides) under uncultured bacterium. Its description in RNAcentral is "partial 16S ribosomal RNA". It matches the Rfam family "Bacterial small subunit ribosomal RNA", at positions 524 to 776 of the family's 1533-position model. The record is from RNAcentral.
GACAUAGGUGGCAAACGUUAUCCGGAAUCAUUGGGCGUAAAGGGUGCGUAGAUGGUGAGGUAAGUUAACAGUGGGAAAUCGAGGCUCAACCUCGUGGAAGUUGUUAAUACUGCUUCGCUAGAGGGCCGGAGAGGUUAACGGAACUCUUAUGGAGGGGUGAAAUGCGUAGAUAUCAUUUGGAACGCCAAUGGUGAAAACAGGUAGCUGGGGGUCUGCUGACGCUGAGACACGAAAGCCAGGGGAGCGAACGGG